UAGGAUGUUGUCCUGCAGCUCACC
Molecule: non-coding RNA, 24 nt
Filed under: Mus musculus (house mouse)
Lineage: Eukaryota; Metazoa; Chordata; Mammalia; Rodentia; Muridae
Source: RNAcentral